GAAAGUCAACUACUCAAAGACAAAGUUAAUUGUAUCCAAUAUCCCUCUAUAUAACAGCGACCCCUUUAACUUUGAGGAUAAUGUGGUAGAUACGGUCUCAGAUUUUAAGUACCUAGGAACCAGAUUAAUGUCAUUAGGCACCACCAUUUUGGAUACUAAGUCGAGGACCAACAAGGCCAGAUCCCGAUAUCAUCAGCUAACUAAAUUAUGGUCGUCCAACCAGAUAUCUACGAACCUAAAAAUAAGACUUAAAUCCCUAAUUCUACCCAUCUUAACAUACGGGUUGGAAACAUGGCAGGACACUAAAAGCAACAUCAACACAUCCCAGACCUUCAUAAACAAGUGCUUGAGAAGAAUCACUAAAACUUACUAUCCAUACAACACCCCAAACACAACUCUCUGGAACAGGUGUGACAUCCUACCUAUCAAACGACUCAUUCCUUUGAGGAGAUUAGAAUUACUCGGCCACUGCUUAAGACAUUCACGAGAUAAUAUGAUAUUUUCGUCCAUGGAGUGGACCCCGGAUUAUGAAAGGCGAAGAAUCCCCAAAUACUAUUGGCUGGCAAAAUGUCUGAAGGACAUGGACUUGAUCAAUCUUACGUUUAUAGAUUUUCUUGCACUCAGCAAAAACAAGAAACAUUUAAAGGAACAUCUACAAUACAUGCUUAAAUAUGGUUUAAACUAGAGCAGGAAUCGUGGACGUAUCAGACUAUUUCUCGCACUGCCUUAUUUCCAAUCUCUUAUCCCCAGUCUAAUGACAACUUAUGUUUUGGCGCAAUAGGAAUUAUGAAGUCAAUGAUAAUCUUAAAACCAUGAAUAUUAAUAAUGAUAACCAUCUCCAGGCUCAAUAUAAUAAUGAUAAUAGUGAAUAACAUGGAUUCUAUAGACAUUGCGUUAUCUUCCAAGGAUAUACUUACCAAACAUUAAAAAAAAAUUUUUUCCCAUCUCUUAAAUCUAACCAGGUGUCAGGUACAUUAUUAUUAUUAAUAUUAGCUACAAUUCUUAACACUAUUUUGCCGGUAACGGAACUAAUAGAUCCCCUCUUUCUUACUCCUCUCUUCUUUACUAUGCUAGCUGACUACAUAGUGGUACCGUCCACUAUAAUAAAACGGGUAUACAUCAUGUAUAGGAUCUAUAUACUAGUGAAUAUACAUGGUGCACGCUACAACUCCUGGUGGGUGAUGAAAUUGCACUUCGUGCAAUUUCUGGCGUGGUAAUGAAUGAAUGAAUGAAAUUAGUAAGUCACUUUUUUAAAAAACUACUAUAAUUCAACAUUUUUAGGAAAAAGUAUUUUUAUAUAAAAUUAUCUGAAAACCCAAAAUUAUUUUUAUAAAAAUAUAAUAUAGCCAAAGGCCUACAAUAAAUGGACCUAAACCAAUAAAAUUUAUGGUGGAAAACCCGGCCUAAUAGGGCUCCUUAUCUAUAAGAAAAUCCUGAGUAGAGGUCUGUAUUGGGAGGGUUUUUGGACCAAAAGCCCAAUUUAACCCGCCCACCCAGUCCGCCCAUAGUUUUUAAAAAAAUAUAUACCCGCCCGCCCCGCCCAUUUGUCUAAAAUUCCUCACCCGCCCGCCUGCACAUUAGUCUUAAAUUUUUUACCCGCCCGCCCAUUAUUUAUAAAAAUUUUUUAACCCAAGCCCGCUUAAAAAAUUAAUUAUCGUAAUUCUUUCAUUUUUUAAGUAUCUAAUAAAAAUAUUUCAGCAUUACACCUACAAAAAGUUUAUAAUUUAGGAAAUUAAUAUAAGUAUAAAAAUAAUCAAUGUAAAUUAUGGACAAUUUAUUUGAUCAAAUUGAAUAUUUAUGAAAAAAAUAUAAAUGUAAAAUUAAUAUUAUAUGUAAUUAUUAUGCAAAAAUAAUAAUGAAUCGACAUUUUCUGGAUUCAAACACGUUCUUCUUUGUUCUAAAAAUCUUCCAGCAAUGCUAAAUCCGCGUUCGGAAGAAGCACUAGUUUUAUUACAAUCCCAUAAAAGGAAACUUUUAAAAGACAAAAAUGUUUAUUUAUUCUAAGAAAAAAGUUUUAUUGUUGUUGUGUUUAUUACAUAAUAUAGUUAGGUAAAUGUUCUUCACUUAAAAAAAAACGAUUGGUACAAUAAAAAAAUAAAUAUUGUUAUAGAUCAUUUAAACAAUUAUUUUUUUUAGUUUGUUUUUGAACAAAAAUUUUAAAUUUCCUCAACCCCGCCCAUUAUUUAAAUUUCUUAACCCGCCCAUAGUUUUAAAUUUUUUUUAACCCGCUCGCCCACCUGCCCAUUUUCGAAAUUUUUUUUACCCACCUAUGUUUAAUUGUAUCAAAUAUAAUAUUUAUAAAAAAAUAUUACAUUCCAUAAUAAAUUUAUAAUUUUAUGUAUUAUUUCAAAAUAUUUGCCGGGGUGGCUCAGUGGUGUAUGAUGUAGGCUUGGAAACAGAAGGUCCCAUUCAACCCUUCUAAGGAACUAAAAAUUUUCGAGUUUUUCUUCGAUGACGGAUGUGUAUAGACAUAUGAUAUGAUAAAUUUCUGAGUUUGAGUUAAGAAAUGCCACCCCGGUCACCGACGGGCUUGGACAGCCGGGUGCUGGGAUACUCGUCCAACCAAAUAAGACGGCCAGCUGAACUCGUGGGUCAUUAAAGGAUCAAACGAUUUCGUGGCCAUAGCUAGAAUAAUGGUGACAUCGGGGGCCUUUCAAGCUCAAUGUCAAUCAAGAUAAAAUGGACUAGAUUACGAUACUCCGGUGGAAGAUCCAGAUAGAAACUAUCAGAAAUACAAAUUAGAUAAAAAUAGAUAGCAUGAGUAUUAAAGUGGAGAAAGGAAGGAGCUUACCGCCUGAAAAAGGGAAAAAAAAAUUUUAAAAUAUUUAAAUUUGUUACAAAUUUAAAAAAAUUAGAAUGACUAAAAAGCAAACAUGCAACACUCUCGGGGUUAAUUUAGAUUUAUGUUAGUAACACAGUUGAUUAUCACCAACCAAUGUUUAUUUGUUUUUCCUAUCCUAAAUUAUGAUGCCUGAAAUAAUUUUGUUGAAUGAUGGUUAUACUCAAUUAAUAUGAAUAAUAUUUCUAAAUAAUAUCCUAGGAAAUUUUUGCAUUGAGGUUGAAGGCAUAAUUUUCUUAAAUUACUUUGAUUUGGAUAUGUUAAAUCUAAUUUUAUGUUAUUAAUUUGUCAAAUAAAGUAGAACCUACGGUAUUAUUGAAACAAUUGGGCCUAAACAGGUUUGAAUAUUUUUAAAAAUCAUUUUUUUCCAGCUGUAAAAUAAAUUUGUAUACAAGUUGCCUGGUUGGACCUAUAAUAAAUUUUUAUGAAGGGAAAAGACAUAAAUUUGGUAAUCUUAAUUUUAAAAAAAUGCAAAUUUUAGACUUGGUUCUUAGAAAUAAUUUGCACAAGUUGUUCUGUCUCACCGUAAAAAAUAUUAUGCCCAAGUUACACGGCAAAUUUUUUUUACCCGCUCUAGCCCGAUUUUUUAGGCAGGGUCAUAUCGUACUGACCUCUCGACGACUAACUUAUUUAUUUAGCUCAAUAAGAAAGUGUGAUACAAAAUUUUUGAUCAACAGAAUUAAAAACAUUUGCUGACUCGUCAACCUCUAUGAUCAGUUAACCCCGGUCUCCCCUUACAAUAACUUUCUUUAGACAAAACAGCACAAAUAAAAUUGUAUUGGAAAAUAAUAAUAUAUAGAAUGAUAAGUUUUUUAAGAUACCACCCAUCCCUUCUCGUCAUUUGAUACAUCAAAUUUAUUAAACGAUAAAUUUAUAAUUUUACAUAUAUAAUAUAAUGUAUAUUUUUUUAUUUG
Gordionus sp. m RMFG-2023 is the source of this 3753-nucleotide long non-coding RNA. RefSeq lists it as uncharacterized. The transcript has 3 exons. The record is from RefSeq and is a predicted model, not a curated record. NCBI's taxonomy places the organism in Eukaryota, Metazoa, Nematomorpha, Gordioida, Chordodea, Parachordodidae.